GAAGAGGUUAUCCUAAGAACAAAUUGAAAGUCAAGAGUUGAAAAGAUCUGACCAAUGAGAUGCAAUCCAACAGACAAGAAUGUCAUAUAAAAACCCAUUUUCCCUUGGACUUUAAUCAAGCAAUAAUCAAUAAGCAAUGAGCAAUAUCCAGAAAUCAUGAACAUCAAGGAAUCAAAUAAAGAUAGCCACAUCCAAGCAAGCAUUCCAAUAACUAGCAGUCUUCAUUGUCUUCUAAAGUAUCAGAUGAAUUGGUCCUUAAGCAACUCA
RNAcentral lists this long non-coding RNA (267 nucleotides) under Lathyrus oleraceus (garden pea). RNAcentral describes it as "Pisum sativum (pea) long non-coding RNA (PSAT_LNC009339)". The record is from RNAcentral. Lineage: Eukaryota; Viridiplantae; Streptophyta; Magnoliopsida; Fabales; Fabaceae.